Molecule: ribosomal RNA, 448 nt
Filed under: uncultured Planctomycetota bacterium
Lineage: Bacteria; Pseudomonadati; Planctomycetota
Description: bacterial SSU rRNA
Rfam family: Bacterial small subunit ribosomal RNA
Source: RNAcentral
GCUUAGAGAGGGGUCAAUGUCCUAUCAGCUAGUUGGUAAGGUAAUGGCUUACCAAGGCUAAGACGGGUAGCCGGCCUGAGAGGGUGGUCGGCCACACUGGGACUGAGACACUGCCCAGACUCCUACGGGAGGCUGCAGUCGAGAAUCUUUCGCAAUGCCCGAAAGGGUGACGAAGCGACGCCGCGUGUGGGAAGAAGGCCUUCGGGUUGUAAACCACUGUCGGGAGUUAAGAGAUGUAAGGGUGUUAAUAGCAUCCUUACUUGACUAAGGCUCCGGAGGAAGCCACGGCUAACUCUGUGCCAGCAGCCGCGGUAAUACAGAGGCGGCAAGCGUUGUUCGGAAUUAUUGGGCGUAAAGAGCACGUAGGCGGCUUUGUAAGUCAGUUGUGAAAGCCUUCCGCUUAACGGAAGAACAGCAUCUGAUACUGCAAGGCUAGAGUGCGGAAGGG